UCUAAUAAGCUCUAUGGUUCUCCUCUGGUAUCCUAGUGGGUUUCACAUUUUCAUUCCUGGCUACAUAGCUUUCCUUCUGCCCUGCAACCAUUUAGAGCUGCUCCUCGCUUGGGGUGGUGCCUAUUGCUGCUCCUGCCAUUCUCCUAGGCCAAGGGACUUGAAAUGGGAUUUUGAAUUGUGAAGUGUGGAUUUCUGCAAGUUCUGCAUUAUUUCUGCCCACAUAAGGAUUUGUUAGCAGUGAAAUGGGCUGGAAACGUGAAUACGUGAAUUAGUACGUCAAAACAGCAAAUAAAACAUGUCUGAAAAAUCUGCUACCUGUAUGCAACAGCCAGAAGAGGAGAGAAAAUGAGAGAUACGUAAAAGGAGGAAAACCCCAAAGUAAUCUUUAAUCGUUUGGGAGAACUUUCUUCUGUCUACCACUGUCCCACCAGUCUCCAAAACAGAAUGAGAAGUAGAUGAGAAGAAAUAGCUCAAUAAUACUCUCCAAAGUGCCUGCUUUCCACUGGGGCUCCCAUUCACCUGAUGCACGCUCCCAGUAAGAUGCUGGUUGCCAGCCGCUGAUGCUGCAGGGAAUUCCCUUUUGGGCUCAGGGUAAGGACCUUGCUCAGCCCAUCAGCACUGGCUCUGAGGACACUUUCCUUCUCACGGGUCAGCAGCAUGGGGUUGACCAUACAAGCCUGAGAUGCUGCCCCUGGUGGAUGAACACUUUUUCCUCCUGAGAUUGGAUUGGUGAACUGAUGGGGAUGAAGGGCUUUGGGGUUGCAGUGCUUGAAGUGCCAAGUUUGUUUUCCCUCCUCUGCUUUCAUAUGUAUAUACCCUGUAAGAUUAAUGCUGGUUUGUGUUGUUUUCAUGCAAUUUGAUUGGUGGAGUAAGAGGAGCACCUGGAAGAAUAGCUAAUCUG
Long non-coding RNA from Hirundo rustica (Barn swallow), 901 nucleotides. RefSeq lists it as uncharacterized. Lineage: Eukaryota; Metazoa; Chordata; Aves; Passeriformes; Hirundinidae. The record is from RefSeq and is a predicted model, not a curated record. The transcript has 3 exons.